This 1480-nucleotide ribosomal RNA is filed under the name uncultured prokaryote. RNAcentral describes it as "partial 16S ribosomal RNA". It matches the Rfam family "Bacterial small subunit ribosomal RNA". The record is from RNAcentral.
GCUCAGAACGAACGCUGGCGGCAGGCUUAAUCCAUGCAAGUCGCGCGGUAAGUGCUCCUUCGGGAGUACACGAGCGGCGAACGGGUGAGUAACGGGUGGACAACCUGCCUCUUGAAGGAGAACAACAGCGGGAAACUGCUGCUAAUGCUCCGUACCUUCUGUAGUCGCAUGUCCGCAGAGAAAGGCGCCUCAAAGCGUCGCCGAGAGAUGGAUCCGCCCCGCAUUAGCUAGUUGGUGAGAUAAUAGCUCACCAAGGCUACGAUGCGUAGCCGGACUGAGAGGUUGGCCGGCCACACUGGGACUGAGACACGGCCCAGACACCUACGGGUGGCAGCAGUAGGGAAUAUUGGACAAUGGGCGAAAGCCUGAUCCAGCUAUGCCGCGUGGAUGACGAAGGCCUUCGGGUCGUAAAGUCCUUUUAUAAGGGAAGAACAUCCCGGGUAGGAAAUGCCCCGGGCCUGACGGUACCUUAUGAAUAAGCAACGGCUAACUACGUGCCAGCAGCCGCGGUAAUACGUAGGUUGCAAGCGUUGUUCGGAAUUACUGGGCGUAAAGGGAGCGCAGGCGGCUUGAUUAGUCUGAAGUGAAAGUCCGGGGCUCAACCCCGGAAAUGCUUUGGAUACUGUCAAACUCGAGUACGUGAGAGGAAGGCGGAAUUCAAGGUGUAGCGGUGAAAUGCUUAGAUAUCUUGAGGAACACCAAUGGCGAAAGCAGCUUUCUGGCACGAAACUGACGCUGAGGCCCGAAAGCGUGGGGAGCGAACAGGAUUAGAUACCCUGGUAGUCCACGCCGUAAACGUUGUGCACUAGGUGUAGGAGGUAUCGACCCCUUCUGUGCCGCAGCUAACGCAUUAAGUGCACCGCCUGGGGAGUACGCGCGCAAGCGUGAAACUCAAAGGAAUUGACGGGGGCCCGCACAAGCGGUGGAGCAUGUGGUUUAAUUCGAGGCAACGCGAAGAACCUUACCCAGGCUUGACAUCCUGCGCUACUUAUGGAAACAUGAGGUUCUCUUCGGAGACGCAGAGACAGGUGUUGCAUGGCUGUCGUCAGCUCGUGUCGUGAGAUGUUGGGUUAAGUCCCGCAACGAGCGCAACCCUUAUCCAUAGUUACCAGCGGUUCGGCCGGGAACUCUAUGGAGACUGCCCGUGAUAAGCGGGAGGAAGGUGGGGACGACGUCAAGUCAUCAUGGCCCUUACGUCUGGGGCUACACACGUGCUACAAUGGCCGGAACAGUGAGCAGCAAAAUCGCGAGGUAGAGCUAAUCUCAAAAAUCCGGUCUCAGUUCGGAUUGGAGUCUGCAACUCGACUCCAUGAAGUUGGAAUCGCUAGUAAUCGCGUAUCAGCAAUGACGCGGUGAAUACGUUCCCGGGCCUUGUACACACCGCCCGUCACAUGACCCGAGUCGGUUGCACCCGAAGUCGCUGACCCAACCCGCAAGGGAGGGAGGUGCCGAAGGUGUGAUUGGUAAGGGGGAUGAAGUC